RNAcentral lists this transfer RNA (70 nucleotides) under Blommersia blommersae (Ambrana Madagascar frog). RNAcentral describes it as "tRNA-Ala". The record is from RNAcentral. Lineage: Eukaryota; Metazoa; Chordata; Amphibia; Anura; Mantellidae.
AGGGCUUUAUCUUAAUUAAAAGAAUCUGGGUUGCAUUCAGAAGAUGUAGAUUAAUAGUCUGCAAGCCCUA